Zootoca vivipara (common lizard) is the source of this 83-nucleotide small nucleolar RNA. RefSeq annotates it as small nucleolar RNA SNORD45. Lineage: Eukaryota; Metazoa; Chordata; Lepidosauria; Squamata; Lacertidae. The record is from RefSeq and is a predicted model, not a curated record.
GGUCAGUGAUGAGAUUUGACAUCUUUAUCUGAAUCUAAAGUUGAUGUGGUUUUAACACAGCUCUAGAAUUACUCUGAGACCUG